Molecule: ribosomal RNA, 460 nt
Filed under: uncultured bacterium
Lineage: Bacteria
Description: partial 16S ribosomal RNA
Rfam family: Bacterial small subunit ribosomal RNA
Source: RNAcentral
CCUACGGGAGACAGCAGUGAGGAAUAUUGGUCAAUGGACGAGAGUCUGAACCAGCCAAGUAGCGUGAAGGAUGACUGCCCUAUGGGUUGUAAACUUCUUUUAUAAAGGAAUAAAACGAGGCACGUGUGCCUUUUUGCAUGUACUUUAUGAAUAAGGAUCGGCUAACUCCGUGCCAGCAGCCGCGGUAAUACGGAGGAUCCGAGCGUUAUCCGGAUUUAUUGGGUUUAAAGGGAGCGUAGAUGGGUUGUUAAGUCAGUUGUGAAAGUUUGCGGCUCAACCGUAAAAUUGCAAUUGAUACUGGCAGUCGUGAGUACAGUUGAGGUAGGCGGAAUUCGUGGUGUAGCGGUGAAAUGCUUAGAUAUCACGAAGAACCCCGAUUGCGAAGGCAGCUUACUAACCUGUGACUGACAUUGAUGCUCGAAAGUGUGGGUAUCAAACAGGAUUAGAUACCCGUGUAGUC